RNAcentral lists this long non-coding RNA (297 nucleotides) under Nicotiana benthamiana. RNAcentral describes it as "long non-coding RNA (NBEN_LNC012012)". Lineage: Eukaryota; Viridiplantae; Streptophyta; Magnoliopsida; Solanales; Solanaceae. The record is from RNAcentral.
CUAGAAGCAACAACUUCAGAUUUUAGGUCACUAGUCUCCCCAACAAUAUCCUCAUCAGAACCAUAUAAUGACUCAUCUGUAUCAUCAUCAUCAUCUUCAGAAAUAGCCUCAUACUCUUUAUCACUCUCAGUACUUAACUUAUCACCCUUAGCAUUACCCUGGCAUCACCCUUAGAAUCAGUUGCUAGAUGAAAGGUAUAGAAGUCACCUUCUUCUCUAAAAUCUUCAGUUGCAGAAGAAGUUUCAUUAGAAGAACUUUCAACACACCGCUAUUUAUAUCACUGUUAGGUGAUUUUGU